This 401-nucleotide ribosomal RNA is filed under the name Coluber constrictor (Eastern racer). RNAcentral's name for it is "partial 16S ribosomal RNA". It matches the Rfam family "Bacterial large subunit ribosomal RNA", at positions 1983 to 2598 of the family's 2925-position model. The record is from RNAcentral. Lineage: Eukaryota; Metazoa; Chordata; Lepidosauria; Squamata; Colubridae.
UAGACCUGUAUGAAAGGCAAAAUGAGGGUUUAGCUGUCUCUUAUAAUAAAUCAAUUAAACUGAUCUCCUAGUACAAAAGCUAGGAUUCCAACAUAAGACCAGAAGACCCUGUGAAGCUUAAACUAAACUAUUAAAACAUAUAAUAGCUACUUUCGGUUGGGGCGACCUUGGAAAAAAAAAGAACUUCCAAACACAAUGACUUAAACCAUACUAACAGGCCAACAAGCCACUAAAAGACCCAGUAAAACUGAUAAAUGAACCAAGUUACUCCAGGGAUAACAGCGCAAUCUUCUUCAAGAGCCCAUAUCAAAAAGAAGGUUUACGACCUCGAUGUUGGAUCAGGACAUCCUAAUGGUGCAGCCGCUAUUAAGGGUUCGUUUGUUCAACGAUUAACAGUCCUA